RNAcentral lists this ribosomal RNA (223 nucleotides) under uncultured Rhodobacterales bacterium. RNAcentral describes it as "partial 16S ribosomal RNA". It matches the Rfam family "Bacterial small subunit ribosomal RNA", at positions 96 to 334 of the family's 1533-position model. Lineage: Bacteria; Pseudomonadati; Pseudomonadota; Alphaproteobacteria; Rhodobacterales. The record is from RNAcentral.
CGGCGGACGGCUGAGUAACGCGUAGGAACGUGCCCCAAAGUGAGGAAUAACUGCCCGAAAGGGUGGCUAAUGCCGCAUAUGAUCUUCGGAUUAAAGUAUUUAUACGCUUUGGGAGCGGCCUGCGUUAGAUUAGGUAGUUGGUGAGGUAAUGGCUCACCAAGCCUACGAUCUAUAGCUGGUCUGAGAGGAUGAUCAGCCAGACUGGAACUGAGACACGGUCCAG